This 497-nucleotide ribosomal RNA is filed under the name uncultured bacterium. RNAcentral's name for it is "partial 16S ribosomal RNA". It matches the Rfam family "Bacterial small subunit ribosomal RNA", at positions 28 to 507 of the family's 1533-position model. The record is from RNAcentral.
GAUGAACGCUGGCGGCGUGCCUAAUACAUGCAAGUCGAGCGAACAGACGAGGAGCUUGCUCCUCUGACGUUAGCGGCGGACGGGUGAGUAACACGUGGAUAACCUACCUAUAAGACUGGGAUAACUUCGGGAAACCGGAGCUAAUACCGGAUAAUAUAUUGAACCGCAUGGUUCAAUAGUGACAGAUGGUUUUGCUGUCACUUAUAGAUCGUUCCGCGCCGCAUUAGCUAGUUGGUAAGGUAACGGCUUACCAAGGCAACGAUGCGUAGCCGACCUGAGAGGGUGAUCGGCCACACUGGAACUGAGACACGGUCCAGACUCCUACGGGAGGCAGCAGUAGGGAAUCUUCCGCGAUGGGCGAAAGCCUGACGGAGCAACGCCGCGUGAGUGAUGAAGGUCUUCGGAUCGUAAAACUCUGUUAUUAGGGAAGAACAAAUGUGUAAGUAACUAUGCACGUCUUGACGGUACCUAAUCAGAAAGCCACGGCUAACUACGUG